GAUGAAGAACGCAGCGAAAUGCGAUACGUAGUGUGAAUUGCAGAAUUCAGUGAAUCAUCGAAUCUUUGAACGCACAUUGCACCUCUCGGUAUUCCGGGAGGUAUGCCUGUUCGAGCGUCAUUUGUACCCUCAAGCUCUGCUUGGUGUUGGGUGUUUGUUCCGCCUCUGUGUGUGAACUCGCCUCAAAACAAUUGGCAGCUGGCGUACUUGUUUCGGAGCGCAGCACAUUUUGCGAUCCAGAUCAACGUACAGCGGCAUCCAAGAAGCCUUAUUUAACGCUCUUGACCUCGGAUCAGGUAGGGAUACCCGCUGAACUUAAGCAUAUCAAUAAGCGGAGGA
This 339-nucleotide unclassified non-coding RNA is filed under the name soil metagenome. RNAcentral's name for it is "partial contains 5.8S ribosomal RNA, internal transcribed spacer 2, and large subunit ribosomal RNA". The stretch from base 1 to 120 matches the Rfam family "5.8S ribosomal RNA", at positions 35 to 154 of the family's 154-position model. The record is from RNAcentral.